RNAcentral lists this long non-coding RNA (362 nucleotides) under Bos taurus (domestic cattle). RNAcentral's name for it is "long non-coding RNA NONBTAT015652". Lineage: Eukaryota; Metazoa; Chordata; Mammalia; Artiodactyla; Bovidae. The record is from RNAcentral.
UUUGAGAAGCCAUGUGGUAGGAUAUGGCAAUAAUAAUAUUGUUUUUUAGGAAUCCUUGCAUUAUUUUCAUCAAACAGGUCCUGGGAUCUCUAAGAUGAGUCUUGGAGGAGACUAAGGGUCAUAUUGGUGACCUUUGAAAAGUGAUUCAGAGAAAUCUACUUUUUUAUCCUGUUACUGUAGUUUUAAAUUUCCCUAUGGCAAAUGUAUAUUUUUGAAUCAAAAUUGUUAUUUCUGUUACAUUUGCAGGUUCAGAUAGAGAGGAGGUUUUAUUUUAUACUGACAGGGACUUUGUAAGAAUCCCUUCACCUGUCUGCAUCACUGUGGAAGUCAGAAGUAGGGGCUGUACCAGAGGGUAAGCAGUG